AUAAGAUAAUCCGCAAAGGGGUCUUCUUUUUUGACAUGAAAACAUAAUGGGGUAGAGUCAACUCUUGCCCGUGGGGCAUAAUUUAUUGUUCGAAAGUCCUUGAGCUAUGUCUUGACUCUAAGGCGAUAGUUGUAGAACAUCUCAUAAACGAAAACAUAACAUGAUAAAGUCAACUCUUUUCCGUGGGGUAUAAUUUAUUGUUUAAAAAUCCUUGAGCCAAGUCUUGCCUAUAAGGUAAUAGUUGUAGAACAUCUCACAAAUGAAAACAUAAUGUGGUAGAGUUAACUUUUGUCUGUGGGGCAUAAUUUAUAGUUUG
RNAcentral lists this long non-coding RNA (316 nucleotides) under Capsicum annuum. RNAcentral describes it as "long non-coding RNA (CANN_LNC020539)". The record is from RNAcentral. Lineage: Eukaryota; Viridiplantae; Streptophyta; Magnoliopsida; Solanales; Solanaceae.